Amphimedon queenslandica is the source of this 368-nucleotide long non-coding RNA. RefSeq lists it as uncharacterized. The transcript has 2 exons. The record is from RefSeq and is a predicted model, not a curated record. NCBI's taxonomy places the organism in Eukaryota, Metazoa, Porifera, Demospongiae, Haplosclerida, Niphatidae.
GGCAGCAAUGUAGUGUCGCCUCCACGUGGCGCUGCCUGGGAUCACUAGUGGUUACUACUGCUAGUGAUGCUAAGAGCACUACAUACAAGAAGAAUAGAUACUAACAGGUACUAUGUAUGAUGAAUUACAUUCCAUUGGUAGGUUAAUGACACUAAGAGGGUAUGUACAAUUCUCUGUUAAUGAAGAUUACAUUAAGUUGUUGUUUGAAGCUGUAUGUACCUUAAGAAGAUUAUUAUGAAGCUGUGAAGAAUUACUUUGAUAGUAUCGUUAUUGUUCUAUUACAAUUUUGUUUAUAAUUAUUUUAGUAUUAUUAUUUUUUUUCAAUUCGCAAUUUCUUCUUUAUUCAUCAUUGAUUAUGAAUUUCGAUU